AGAUUAAGCAAAGAAGAGCGCAGGGUGGAUGCCUUGGCACUAAGAGCCGAAGAAAGACGUGAUAAGCUGCGAAAAGCUGCGGGGAGAUGCAAAUAAUCCUUGAUCCGCAGAUGUCUGAAUGGGGAAACCCGGUACGAAGAACUCGUAUCAUCCAUACGCCAAUCCAUAACAUAUGGAGGGGAACCCGGUGAACUGAAACAUCUAAGUAGCCGGAGGAAGAGAAAGAAACAUCGAUUUUGUUAGUAGCGGCGAGCGAAAGCGAAAGAGGCCAAACCGGAGUGCGUGCACUCCGGGGUUCGGACCGCAUUUAAGAUUCAGUGAUUCUAGCAGAAAGGUUUGGGAAAGCCUGCCGGAGAGGGUGAAAGCCCCGUAAGCGAAAGGAGAACUGACUGAGCGGGAUCCAGAGUACAUCGAGACACGAGAAACCUUGAUGGAAAGAGCGGGGACCACCCCGUAAGCCUAAAUACUACUUAGUGACCGAUAGCGCAUAGUACUGUGAAGGAAAGGUGAAAAGGACCCCGGGAGGGGAGUGAAAGAGAACCUGAAACCCUGUGUUUACAAGCUGUGGAAGUUCUUUAAAUGAACAACCGCGUACUUUUUGUAGAACGGUCCGGCGAGUUGCGGAUACUGGCAAGGUUAAGCACUUAAGGUGCGGAGCCGAAGGGAUACCAAGUCUUAACAGGGCGUAAAGUCAGUAUACGCAGACCCGAAACCGGGUGAUCUAUCCAUGUCCAGGUUGAAGUUGUCGUAAAAGACAAUGGAGGACCGAAGCCACAUCCGUUGAAAAGGGUGGGCAUGAGGUGUGGAUAGGGGAGAAAUUCCAAUCGAACCCGGAGAUAGCUGGUUCUCCUCGAAAUAGCUUUAGGGCUAGCCUCGAUUUAGUCUUAUGGAGGUAGAGCACUGAAUUUCCGCGGGGGCGUCAAAGCUUACCAAAGAAUAUCAAACUCCGAAUGCCAUGUAGAUGAUGAUCGGGAGUCAGACUGCACGAGAUAAGUUGGGCAGUCAAAAGGGAAAGAGCCCAGACCACCGGCUAAGGUCCCAAAGUGCGUGUUAAGUGGAAAAGGAUGUGGGAAUUCGAAGACAACUAGGAUGUUGGCUCAGAAGCAGCCAUACAUUCAAAGAGUGCGUAACAGCUCACUAGUCGAGAGUUCCUGCGCCGAAAAUGUCCGGGGCUGAAACACGACACCGAA
This 1190-nucleotide ribosomal RNA is filed under the name Agathobacter rectalis. RNAcentral's name for it is "partial 23S ribosomal RNA". It matches the Rfam family "Bacterial large subunit ribosomal RNA", at positions 1 to 1198 of the family's 2925-position model. The record is from RNAcentral. Lineage: Bacteria; Bacillati; Bacillota; Clostridia; Lachnospirales; Lachnospiraceae.